GAAGAGAGUGAGCAGGAUGCUGUGAGAGAGGGUUACUAUUCCAAGUGGCACCUGGGCCAGCAGCAUUGGCAUCACCUGGGACUUGUGAGAAAUCCAGCAUCUCAGGCUCUACUGCAGGUCUCCUAAAUCAGAAUCUACAGUUUAACAAGAUCCCCAGGAGAUGUGUGUGUAAAGUCAAGAACCUGUUGAGAGGAGCACCUAGCAUAAGACCUGGCUUGUGACAGAUCUGCCACCCUGUAGCUGGGUGACUUUUAGACAAGUGAUCUGACCUCUCUGAGCCAGAGUUUCUACCUUGUAAAAAAAAAAAUCCCUUCCUGCAUGGUCAGCUGUCAUGAAAAGGACACAUGGUGAUGGGCAGACCAAGACAAGGCUUAGCUUCAUGUUUGACUCCUAGGAGCACCCAGUUCAUAGACGCUGCUGCUGUUACUAAUCUGUUUCCAUCUUCCCCUGGGAAUCCUGAGGUUUAUCUGUGAGUCUUUGGACUGCUGUAUGGACAACAUACUCUGCAGUAGCAUGAAGAAGUGAGUGAAGACCCUCCCUUGAACCAUGUGCACUGAAAGAACAGAAGUCACAUCUUGAUAUCUCAGUGCCUUUACAGUGCCAGGGAUGGGGUACAUGCUGAGCGCCUGGUAUGUGCUCACCCUAUGCUGUACAAAACACAGAAAGCCCCACAGGGUUUGAACUGUAAUUAGGUAGAGGGUGUGUGGGACUCCCCUUGGGUCUC
RNAcentral lists this long non-coding RNA (724 nucleotides) under Pongo abelii (Sumatran orangutan). RNAcentral describes it as "lincRNA". Lineage: Eukaryota; Metazoa; Chordata; Mammalia; Primates; Hominidae. The record is from RNAcentral.